Molecule: transfer-messenger RNA, 353 nt
Filed under: Pelotomaculum propionicicum
Lineage: Bacteria; Bacillati; Bacillota; Clostridia; Eubacteriales; Desulfotomaculaceae
Also listed under: 1 other name
Rfam family: transfer-messenger RNA
About the family: Bacterial tmRNA, also known as 10Sa RNA or SsrA, is named for its dual tRNA and mRNA-like properties. Its role is to liberate the mRNA from a stalled ribosome.
Source: Rfam by way of RNAcentral
GGGGGCGUAAUGGGUUCGACGGGGGAAGCGGUGGCAGGAGGAGCGAGCCGGGGUUUCCAUCAGCCCGCAAAACGGUGGAAAAAUUAUAAUUGCCAACAACGAAUACGCCUUAGCAGCUUAAUUGCUGUUAACCUUCUACCCGCGCUGGGCCCGUGGCCCGGGCCAGGGGGUCAUUUAAACGGGCUGGCUCAAGUCCCAAUUCUCGGAGGGUUUGAGCAAGAUCUAUCGAGAUAGUGCCAAGGGAGCCCGGCUGUAGGCGCCCGCGGCGCGAAACCUAAACUGCAGCCUGCGCUCGGAGAAACUCCUGUGGUCGGUCUUCCGGACGGUGGGUUCGAUUCCCCCCGCCUCCACCA